CUUAGCAACUGUUGUCACACUUCUGGAGGCGGGUGGAGGAAGUCUAGCCUGGGCUGGGACUAGACCAGGGCAGGGAGCCGCGACCCUGACGGACGUGAGGUAGAGGGGGAGCAAUGGAGAAAGGGGGCCGGACAAACAGAACCCCACACAGAAGUGGCUGGCCCCAAGAAGCAAAGCAAGUCACCUGUGAACCAGGAAGCAAGAGAUGAGUCUUAACACUGACCUCCUACCCCACUAAUAAAACAAAAACACAGGA
This is a long non-coding RNA of Camelus dromedarius (Arabian camel), 256 nucleotides long. RefSeq lists it as uncharacterized. The transcript is spliced from 2 exons. NCBI's taxonomy places the organism in Eukaryota, Metazoa, Chordata, Mammalia, Artiodactyla, Camelidae. The record is from RefSeq and is a predicted model, not a curated record.